GCACCUCUAAGUACUGCCAUUUAUAUGAAAAUUACGAGAUGUAUCUUUUUUUCUGCUGUUACACAAUAUAAAUUCAUUAGUACUAAAUGAUUAACUAAUUGGCUAAUUUUUGUCUUUCAGGUUUAAUGAAUAAAUGGGCAAAGUUUUAACUUAAUCCGAAAAUGGGAAAUAGAAAUCAAAACAUGUUCAAACUUUUACGUCAAAGAAAAAGAGACAAACAGACAAAAUGAGUGAAAAUAAAAUGUGUAAUUAUUGACAAUCAUUAACUUUAUAAAGAAGUAAUUAUUUUAAAACAAAUUGUUAUGCUAUUUAUAUACUUAUUCAAGACACUCACUACCAUCAAAGAAUACAAAAUAAAUUUUUUGUUAAAGGCUUAUGACAUCUGUAAGAAUAGGGCAUAACAUAGGAAACACUAUUUGGACGCUUAGGAAAUUGUGCAAAAAGAAAUUCAUGUACUUAUCAGUGUAGGUAUAGAUAGAGUUUGGAUUUUGAAUACGAUAUGUAAAUUAAAAAAAAAAUUGUUUCGUUUCUCUAUUUCGUUUGGAGCCACACAAAAAUCCCGUCAUUGACGGUUCACUAACUAUAUAAGGCCUGAAUUAUCCGUGAAAUGAUACAAAUAU
Non-coding RNA from Biomphalaria pfeifferi, 620 nucleotides. Lineage: Eukaryota; Metazoa; Mollusca; Gastropoda; Planorbidae. The record is from the annotation of a GenBank genome assembly.